This 30-nucleotide non-coding RNA is filed under the name Mus musculus (house mouse). The record is from RNAcentral. Lineage: Eukaryota; Metazoa; Chordata; Mammalia; Rodentia; Muridae.
UAGUGGUGACCAAGGACGAAGACUAUCCUG